Danio rerio (zebrafish) is the source of this 535-nucleotide non-coding RNA. The record is from RefSeq and is a predicted model, not a curated record. Lineage: Eukaryota; Metazoa; Chordata; Actinopteri; Cypriniformes; Danionidae.
GAGUCCACAGUCACAAUAACAAGAUCAUUGGGCUGUCCCCUAAUUGUGGUGAGCUACAUGUUUAGUCUCUUAUGUGCUAAACAUUAUGUAGCCUAAGGAAGCAGCCCUGACUCUGGAGUUUAUAUGAAGGAGCAUGCUGAGUAACUAUCCAGAAUGUAGGUCCAAAGCAGAAAAAAGAGCACCAAGCAGAAACAUACCAUCUAAACUCCUUUGAUUCCUGUCAGACCAGAAAGACUUUCAGAAUCCUUGGAAGAUUUAAAGCUAUUGAAGUAUCAGUAUUGGAGCGGAAGAAGACCCAGUUGUAUCGUCCGUUUCCUGCCAUCUUGCAGUUUAACCUGGUUUCUUAAUGUAAAGUACUUGUAAUUUGCCCACUUGUCCUCAAUUAUCUUAAAGCUAACAUUUAAAACUAAUUUGCUAUGAAAUUAUUUGCCAAGACUUCUCACUGUGUGAUUCACAUGUCAAUAUGUAUUAUUGUGUGUAUAACUAGCUAUUUGGAAUUCAAAUGAUUUGUAUUCAUUAAAGAAUCUGUUUUAAU